Molecule: long non-coding RNA, 1148 nt
Organism: Vigna radiata var. radiata (mung bean)
Lineage: Eukaryota; Viridiplantae; Streptophyta; Magnoliopsida; Fabales; Fabaceae
Exons: 2
Source: RefSeq, a predicted model, not a curated record
UUUCUUGUAUUUUCUUUUCUUCUUCUUUCUCACUUCGAAAGCCCUCCCCUUUAUGUCUUUCUCUCAUCCAUUGAGCCGAAACUCAUAUUCUUCUAUCCAUAGUUACAAGCCUUCUUCUAUUUUUGUUUCUCUUAUUGUUCGAUUGUGGAUGUUGGUGAUUUAUUUAUAAUUAUGGGUGUUUAUCAUUUUGUUGGAUUUAGGGUUUUCUAAUUUUUGUUGGAUUGUGGCUGUAUAUGGUUCAUUGUUCAUGUCUUUAGAAACAAAUUUCCUGCUUCCACUUUUAUCGGUCCUUAUUCAGUGUCAUUUAUAUUUUUCGUUGUUAUUUGGAUAUUUUGGAGCGACCUACAUUCCAUGGCUCCAGAUUUGUUUUAACAAAGUCCAAUUCUAUUCUCUGACCGAGGAUCUGAUGCAACUAAUCACACUAUAAUCUUGGAGCUUGAAUCGCAAGCUUAGAAGAUGACAAAUACUUGCCUUCCACCUGACACAUCAGAGGACAAUGAUUCCUAGAAUUUGAAUUAUUGAGAAACCACACCAUCCUACUUUAUUUGCCAUUUCCAAGUCUAGCACACUUUCAUUUGUGGAAGCCUAAAAUAAAAGUUUUCAAGUGUUGGUAUCAUUGAGAAAAUAACACUUCAAAGAAGAUUAUCAGAGACAUCGAACUCUUUAAAGUAUAUAUGGAGGCUCCAUUGAAGUUUAAUUUUCUUAUGAGUAGGAAAUUUUCAACUGAUAUUUUAUUUAACUCUCUCCUGUAAAAUAGUGGGGAAGAAGUAAAGAAGAACUAUUCUUAGCAAAAGGCUAGAAAAUGUUGUAAGGUAUGAGAAAACAACUGAUAGUAUCAUAACUUUGUGUUUUGCCAUUUUGGCACAGGUAGUCUUGGUUCCAGGGAGUGCAUGUGGAGAUGAUUCUUUGUUCCGCAUUUGUUAUGCAGAAUCCCUUACUAUCCUACAUGCAGAUGUAGAAAGAAUAAACAAGGAAAUUGUAAUGGGAUGUUCCCAAGUAUUAGACAUUUAAACAGUGUUACUGUGAUCAAAAUAGCAAGUUAUGUUCAUUGAAAUAUAGUACUUCAUUAGGUGAUUUAUGAGUUACUGUUAUCUAAUCCAAGCUUGUACUUAAAGUAAGUAGUUUCAAUCACUGUAAUUUUCUUUUUA